Molecule: ribosomal RNA, 660 nt
Filed under: uncultured bacterium
Lineage: Bacteria
Description: bacterial SSU rRNA
Rfam family: Bacterial small subunit ribosomal RNA
Source: RNAcentral
AGUGGCGGACGGGUGAGUAACGCGUGAGAAUCUGCCUUGGGGUCGGGGACAACCACUGGAAACGGUGGCUAAUACCGGAUAAGCCGAUUGGUGAAAGAUUUAUUGCCCGAAGAGGAGCUCGCGUCUGAUUAGCUAGUUGGUGAGGUAAGAGCUCACCAAGGCAGCGAUCAGUAGCUGGUCUGAGAGGACGAUCAGCCACACUGGGACUGAGACACGGCCCAGACUCCUACGGGAGGCAGCAGUGGGGAAUUUUCCGCAAUGGGCGAAAGCCUGACGGAGCAAGACCGCGUGAGGGAGGAAGGCUCUUGGGUUGUAAACCUCUUUUCUCAGGGAAGAAGCUCUGACGGUACCUGAGGAAUCAGCCUCGGCUAACUCCGUGCCAGCAGCCGCGGUAAUACGGAGGAGGCAAGCGUUAUCCGGAAUUAUUGGGCGUAAAGCGUCCGCAGGUGGCGAUUCAAGUCUGCUGUCAAAGCACGGGGCCUAACUCCGUAAAGGCAGUGGAAACUGAAUAGCUAGAGUGCCGUAGGGGUAGAGGGAAUUCCCGGUGUAGCGGUGAAAUGCGUAGAGAUCGGGAAGAACAUCGGUGGCGAAAGCGCUCUACUGGACGGCAACUGACACUCAGGGACGAAAGCUAGGGGAGCGAAUGGGAUUAGAUACCCC